This 454-nucleotide ribosomal RNA is filed under the name Asaphes vulgaris. RNAcentral describes it as "partial 16S ribosomal RNA". The record is from RNAcentral. Lineage: Eukaryota; Metazoa; Arthropoda; Insecta; Hymenoptera.
AUCAAAUCUGCUCAAUGAAUAUUUAAAUAGCUGCAGUAUCUUAACUGUACAAAGGUAGCAUAAUCAUUUGUCUUUUUAUUAAAGUCUAGUAUGAAUGAUUUAAUGAAAUAAAAUCUGUCUCAAAUUAAAAAUUAAACUUUAUUAUAAGUAAAAAUUCUUAUAUAUUAUUAAAAGACGAGAAGACCCUGUAGAAUUUUAUAAUAAUUAAUUUUAUUUUUAUAUUUAUAUAUUUAUAUUUAAUAAAUUAAUAUUAUUUUAUUGGGGUGAUAUAAAAAUUUAAUUAAUUUUUUAAAUAUUUUAAUAUAUAUUAAUAAAUUUUUUAUCCAUAAAUUAUGAAUAUAAAUUAAAUUACCUCAGGGAUAACAGCGUAAUUUUUUUAAAGAGACCAUAUUGAUAAAAAAUUUUGCGACCUCGAUGUUGAAUUAAGAUAAAUAAUUAUUGCAGAAAAUAAUUA